Long non-coding RNA from Mirounga angustirostris (Northern elephant seal), 1961 nucleotides. RefSeq lists it as uncharacterized. Lineage: Eukaryota; Metazoa; Chordata; Mammalia; Carnivora; Phocidae. The record is from RefSeq and is a predicted model, not a curated record. The transcript is spliced from 4 exons.
CAAUCUGUAGAGAGAAACAUCAAAAAUGAAAUUACGAUCACUUCAGCUUGUGCUCAUCUGAAAUCUUUAAUGAGUGGGCCCAGAGUCUGUUUGUAUUUGUGACUUCCAGUAAUAUCCUGCUCUGAGUCUCUUCUGUAAAUGGCUAGGAAAGAACCUUUUCUUGACUUCCUGCGCCGGAAAUACAAGAUAAAGAAAAAAUUAAUGAAGUACAGGGGGAAAACGGCUCAAUUUAGGAGGAGGUUCACAAACACUGUGAAGACCUUGGAUGAGCUCUUUUAUGUUCUGACAUCAGUUAUCUGAAAGAGUUCAUGAGAAGCUUGUUUGCUUGGUCUUAGAAAAGCUCAUUUUUGUUGUUAACUUUUUUAUUAUGGAGAAUUUUAAACACAUAUAGAAAGAUAAUAGUAUAAUAACCCCCAUAUAUCCAAGAUCAAGCCCCCAAAUCAUCAACCCAUUGCUGAUUCAGGAGGGUUCCUUUUCGGAAUGGAAAGGUGAUUCUUUAAAACUUCCAUCAGAAGAGUCCUGAACCCUAACAUUCAUAAUCCAGCACUCCAAGGCUUGGGCUAAAUGGCCAUUUGCCUGAGACACUAAAAUGUUGAAAGGAUAGACAACGUGCCCCAAAUCAUCCAGCUGGCUGCCUGGCAACCAGUCAUACUUGGAGCCCCAAAGCUGUUGGUCUUUGCUGACAAAACCUACACUUAGAGUUGGCUCUACCCACCUGGCUACUGUCCGCUUCCAGAGCUCUACUCUCCCCAGAUCCAAAUGGCGGUGCUUAAAUCAGGGCAGGAAAAAGUAAAUUAAUCUGAUGGACCUAAUGGAGCAGGAACAUGAACCAAGUGGCAGGGUGACUUCAGAACUUCCCAAAGGAAAGGGAACCCAAAAUACCUGAGAGGCAAUUGUGGUAGACAGAAUAUGUCUAUCCCAAAUGUCCACACCCUAACCUCCAGAAAUGGUGAAUAUGUUAGAUUACAUGGCAAAGGAGAAAGAGGGUUGUAAAUGGAAUUGAGAUUGCUAAUUGCCUGACCUUUAAAAUAGGGAGAUUAGCCUGGAUUAUCCAAUCCAGGUGGGCCCAGUGUAAUCACAAGGGUCCUUAAACCUGGAAGAGGGAGGCGGAAGAGAAGGUCAAGGAAGAGAUGGACAGAAUGCAAGUAGAGUCAUCGAGAUGUUACCUCGCUGGCUCUGAAGAUGGAGCAUUGGGGCCGCUAGCCAAGGGCGGCCUCUAGAAGCUGGGCAGACAAAGAAACAAAUUCUUCUCCAGAACCUCCAGGAAGGAAUGCAGCCCUGCCAACCCCUGACUCUAGCCCAGGGAGCCUGCAUUUGGACUUCUAACUCACAGAACUGAAAGAAAAUCCAUCUGUGUUGUAAGGCACGAAGCCGGUGGUGAUUUGUUACAGCAGCAACAGGAGGCUAAUACUGUGGCAUGACACAGAGGACCUGCCAAGUCCUCACACUGCUCUGAUCACUGAGGUCCAAAGAUACCAAGAAGAAAACGGCUGCUCCAGAGAUUACCCCAACAGCCAACUUACAACAAAGCUGGAAGACUCUGGUAAAUCACGUAGCUCGCCGCUUCAUCCCGACACUGUCUGGCCAGAGCGCAACUCUGCGGCCAUCGGCGCGUCUGCAGUGUCCCCAGGCCCAGCUGGAGAGGAGGCCUUACCUGGCUAGCCCGGAGGCUCUGGAUAGCAGCGCACACAGCAGCAGCACCAACACCCAGAGCAGGGCUAAGAUGAACACGCCGGCCCCCACCCCGAGCACGGUGCCAGCCAUCUGCAGGGAGACAAAGCGUGAGGACAGAGAGGUUGCUUUCUGCUCUGUGUGGAUCACUUCAAAUCUGCUGAGUUCUAGUUUGGCUUUCCCGACCUGCAGCAGCAAGCUGAACUCUCUCCUGACAGAAAUGCUAAUGGAGGGCUGUGAAGGCACGAGGAGCCAAGCGCUAUGGAGCCCAUGGGGACACUGAGGCUCUC